GGGAUUUAGGUUAAAUUAUAAACCAAGGGCCUUCAAAGCCCUAAACAAGAGUGAAAAUCUCUUAAUCUCU
This 70-nucleotide transfer RNA is filed under the name Scriptaphyosemion roloffi. RNAcentral's name for it is "tRNA-Trp". It matches the Rfam family "tRNA". Rfam says of the family: Transfer RNA (tRNA) molecules are approximately 80 nucleotides in length. Their secondary structure includes four short double-helical elements and three loops (D, anti-codon, and T loops). Lineage: Eukaryota; Metazoa; Chordata; Actinopteri; Cyprinodontiformes; Nothobranchiidae. The record is from RNAcentral.